Molecule: long non-coding RNA, 5188 nt
Organism: Homo sapiens (human)
Lineage: Eukaryota; Metazoa; Chordata; Mammalia; Primates; Hominidae
Gene: PLCG1-AS1
Product: PLCG1 antisense RNA 1
Source: Ensembl
ACGUGAGGGGAUGGCGCGUCCUCCGGGAAUGCCCGGCCAAACUCAGUUACCUGGGCGGGCUUCCCGGACAAGGGAGCCAGGACGGGCCGCCUCACACCGGCGGCGGCGGGUCCUCCGCGCGCCCUCUCCCGGGAGGGGCGGGGGCGGGGCUGCCUGCGGAUUGGUCGCGGGCACUGAUGGACAGCCGACAUGUCCCGCCCCCCCGGCAGCGCGGGGCUGGUCCGCAGGCAGUUCUGGCGACGGCCAGACCCACGUCUGUCUGUUCCGCCCCUGCUGCCAGGGUGGCUUUCAGUGGUCCUCUCUUUCGGAGAGUUCCCCCCAAGCGUGAGCACCCCUUACAGGGGCGUUAGGUCCGCGGCCGCGCUGUCCAGUGGUCUGACCUGCAGCUCCCAGGGCCUUUGUGUCUGUCCCUCGCAUGGGCCUCUGCACGCUCCGUCCCCACGCGACAGGACUCGAGUCCGAUUCGGGGCUCCGACUCAGACCCUACCCCGCAGCGCCCUCCUGCAAAUGCUCUCCUGAACUUUGGUUUUCCCCGCCUUGCUUUCUUCCUCCUCCUGUAGCCGCUGCCUCUCGAUCUCAGAAGCUUCUCUUCCUCUGCACUCAGUGCUAGGCCAGAUCCCAAGGCGACCUGACCUUUCCCCUGGCUUUGCCCAACAACACAGGCACCGGUGACUCCAAACCUGCAUCUCCCCUACGUUCCAGGCCCCAGCAUCCCACUGCAUGUUCCACAUCCCCCCCCCUUAGACAGCUCGCCUUCCCUCCCCAAACGAUUCCUUCCACAGUCUUCACUUUCUCAGAACGCGGCGCUAAACUUCUCUAAGUUGGAAGGUCAAAAACCUUGCAGCUAACUUUGAUUCCUCCCUUUGCCUCACCUCCAAUCCAUCAAGACCUUGUCACUCAGCCCACAAGCUGAAGGCCCCAUCUCCUGUCACCCAGACUACUCACCUUGUUUGGUUUUGCCUGGAUCUAUCAGUUUGGUUUUGCCUGGAUUUAUCAUGCUUUAAAUCUUUAAAAUGAAAUUAAAUCAUGAUCCCCUACAUCCAGGCUAAAACCCUCCGUGAAUUCCCAUUGCACCUAAAAUCCACACUCCCUGCUUGGCCUAGCAGGUUCUAUAUGACCUGCCCAUCUCACCAGUUUCAUCUCUCACAAGUGAUCCUUCACUCUCCAUUCUCCAGCCACAAGGCCUUUUUCUGGUUAUGGAAUAUAAUUCAUACUCUUUGUCUUUCUGAAGCCAUUCUUGAAACUCACCCCUGCAAUCUAUCUACCCUUGUCAGCACCGCCAAAAUUGAGGACACCCACGGUCGCGGUGGAGCCUGUCUGACAUGUUGAGCCAGGCAGUGGGUCGGCUGCCAGGCACAGCAGGACAACUUACUGCAUUUCAGAGGAAUGAUGGUCCACAAUUUACUGAUGAGGAAACAGAGAUUCAGAGAAGUUCUACAAUUUGCCCCAAAGCCACAUAACAUGACUAGGUGGGAACUAGAACCCAAGUCGGCCUGACUCCAUGAGUUUUCUGCCUCACAGGAGAUCCACUGGCUUAGAGUUUCUCUCUCGUCGCCCAGGCUGGCGUGCAAUGGCACAAUCUUGGCUCACUGCAAUCUCCGCCUCCCGAGUUCAAGCAGUCCUGCCUCAGCCUCCUGAGUCUCUUUUGAUUUGGUGCUGUCACAGGUUGGGUUCUUUGGAUGUGGACUCUGUGACAGGUUAGUGUGCAGUAUGUUUAUUGGGGAGUGGCCCUGGGAUCAACACUCUGGGAGGUACUGGAAAGAAACAGGAGUGGGCACAGGGAAAACUAAACUGAGAUGCAGGCCUGAUGACAGUCUCAGCCAACUCCCAGGAUCUCUGUUGUCUGGCACUAGCCUGGAAAGGAGUUGUAAUGUCCUGGGAAGAGCCUAGCCUGGGCCAGAUGGCACUCUGCAGCCAAGAUGAUCUUCGAGGGGCUGACAGCUGAAGAUUUUCUGCUGACAGCUCUCCCAAUAGUUGGGUCAACAAGUCCUUCUUUGAAGGGGAUCUGGGUGGCACGUUGCUAUGUCUACCACAAGUGUAUUCUUUUUCAGCCCUUUAAAAAUGUUUUGAGUACUUAAAAAUAGAGAAUAAAAUAUAGAAAUAGGAGAUGAGAUUAUAAGGAGGAGGACGAUAAUAUGGUUUAUGGGUUAAUGUAGCUGAUGUGAUUGAGAAUUAAACAUGGCUGAGCUUCCUGAUAGCCAAAACAAUAACACUUUCUAUUCUGUUAACUGGUUCUUUGGAGUAAAAAAAAUUUCUGGGGUUAAAUUAUAAAAGAAGUUUCUCACCUGGAUACUUAUUUAGUUGAAAUAGUGGAGAAUGUUCUCAACUGGUUAAUAGCAAAUGCUGAUGCCGUUUUCAUUUGUUCCUUGUAAUGGCCUUGAGUGAAUAUCGAGGGCAUAAUAUACAAGUAUAGCUCAGUGAAGCCCUUUUCACAUUAGAAGGGUGCAGAUUUAUAGUCUUGCAGUGUCUAAUUUGAUCCAUGUGUAAAACAUUGUCCUUUUUCUUUAAACCAUUUUUUUUUUUUUUUUUUUUUACUCUUGUCGUCCUGGCUGAAGUGCAGUGGCGCAAUCUCGGUUCACUGCAACCUCUGCCUCCCGGGUUCAAGCAAGUCUCCUGCCUCAGCCUCCUGAGUAGCUGGGAUUACAGGCGCGUGCCACCAUGCCCAGCUAAUUGUUUGUAUUUUUAGUAGAGACGGGGGUUUCAUCAUGAUGGCCAGGUUGGUCUCGAACUCCUGACCUCAGGGGAUCCACCCACUGCAGCCUCCCAAAGUGCAGGGAUUACAGGCGUGAGCCACUGCACCUGGCCUAAACCAUUCUUUAAUUUUUACUCAGUUUCUCGUGUUAGACAUCUGAACAGCCCCUCCUCUGGGUUUGUGAGCCAGCCUGCACCUCAGCACACAGCCAGUACUACUUGCUAAGAACUAACCUCAGUGCACCUUGAACUCCACCCACAACCUGCUGUUUAGGCUCCUGACCCCUGGCCCCCAAAUCUAUCUGUGGCUCCAACUUAGUCAUCAGGCCUCACACUUCUUAGGUCAUGUCCACCUGCUUUCCUCCUCACCUGGGUUGUGUUAUCUGUCCCUCAAGAGCCUCGUGUUCUCUCUCAAGGCAAAAUCACACCUGGCUCGGCUGCUCCCAGGGACUGCUGUCUCCAUUGACCUUGGUGUAUCUCUGCUGAUUGGCCCCCAUAGUGGGACCCAGAUGUUGAGGUUCUCCAGCUGGGCUGCAGAUGUAUCUUCUUCUGAAAGGUGGCAGGGACACUGUGACUGCAUCACUGAGGCAACAUAUGGCAAUAAAGGAAGAGAAGGGGAAAGCCCAGGCCAGGGCAGACCUGCACUUUUCUGUUUUUCUCUCUCCUCCUUGCAACACGCUUCACGGAUGCAUCCUCUAGAGCACUAAGACAGCACAGCUGAGUCAGAACAAGUUCCCACUCCAGCAGUGGGUACAGAAAUGCCAACAGACCAUGACAAUUCAGUGUGAUGGGGGCCAUUGGAGCACUGAGAAGGGACACUUGGCUUUACUGAAACCUGUUAGUGUCUGUGGAGAUAGAGCAAAGUGAGAGACUGUAUAUGCCUGAAAGAGAUGGCCACUCCAGAUACAAGGCAAACACUCAUUUUCAUCAUAGGGUCACUCCAAGUUGUUUUGUGGGUUGUUUUUUUUUUGCAACUAAAAUAUAAACUUUUUAGAGAUGCAAAUGUCCACAUAUAAUAGUUUAUUUAGCUACAGGUACAUACUUUAAAUCACAUAUUUAAAACAAUAUAUUGAUUCACGAACAUUGAUUUUCCCCACACUCACAUUUUCAGUAAACUAUAUUCAACUCUUCACAUGAAUCUUGGAUUUCUGUAUUUUCACCAUGAGUCGCUUUUUGAGUCAUCUAAUAGAAUCUCUCAAAGCAUAUCAUCACUUUCCCUCCCUUCUAAGUUGAGAGAGAGAGCAAACAACUUUUUUUUUUUUUUGAGACGGAGUUUCGCUCUUGUUGCCCAGGCUGGAGUGCAAUGGUGUGAUCUCGGCUUACUGCAGCCUCCGCCUCCCGGGUUGAAGCGAUUCUCCUGCCUCAGCCUCCCGAGUAGCUGGGAUUACAGGCCCGCACCACCACGCCCAGCUAAUUUUUUAUAUUUUUAGUAGAGAUGGGGUUUCACCGUGGCCAGGGUGGUCUUGAACUCCUGACCUCAGGUGAUCCACCCACCUUGGCCUCCCAGAGUGCUGGGAUUACAGGUGUGAGCCACCGUGCCCGGCCAACUUUUUUUACUUAGAUUUUUUUUUUACUUAAAAAAUAAUUUUUGUUGAGGAAUAAUUUACAUAUAAAAUACAUCCAUUUUUAAGUGUAAAAUUUGUGCUUUGACAAAUGUAUACCCUCAUGUAACCUCCACCCAAUCAAGAUAGAGAAUAUUUCCACCACCCCAAAAUGUUUCCUGGUGCGCCUUCGCAGUCAGUCUCCUCUGUCCCCAUCCAGCAACCACUGAUUGACUUUCUGUCACUACGGAUUAGUGUUGCCUAUUCUGGAAUUUCACAUAAAUGGAAUCAUACAGUAUGUACUCUUGUGUCUGCGUUCAGCAUAAUGUUAUUUAGAUUCAUCCAUGUUGCUGCAAAGGGAAUACUUUCUGAAUUAGUAUGUGAUGUUAUCACUGAAAAUUGUAACCUAAGCAUAAUUACCUUUUAGUAUAACAUUAAGAUGUUGCUUUUCCCCCCUCAAUUCCUCUAUGGAUAUAUACUAAUAAUCUUCAAAAUAACCAGUUACUGUAUUGCUUUAAACAUGUUAUGAAAAAUCUCUGCUGGGCAUGGUAGCUCACACCUAUAAUAUCAGUAUCUGGGGAGGCUGAGACAGGAAGAUUGCUUGACCCCAAGAGUUGGAGACCAGCCUGGGCAACAUAGUGAGGCCUUGUCUCUAAAAAUAUAAAAAUAAAAAAAUUAGCCAGGCAUGGUAGCAUGCACCUGUAGUCUCAGCUCUUCAGGAAGUUGAAGUCGGAGGAUUGUUUGAGCCCAGGAGUUCAAGGCUAUAGUGAGCUAUGAUCACACCAGUGUACUCCAGCCUGGGCAACAGAGGUGAGACCCUGUGUCUAAAUAAAAAAGACAUUUUUAAAGAAAAAUCUUGGCCAGGUACGGUGGCUGGGCCGGGUGCAGCGGCUCACACCUGUAAUCCCAGCACUUUGGGAAGCUGAGGUGGGCAGAUCACCUGAGGUCAGGAGUUC